GAUGAAGAACGUAGCGAAAUGCGAUAAGUAAUGUGAAUUGCAGAAUUCAGUGAAUCAUCGAAUCAUUGAACGCACAUUGCGCCCGCCAGUAUUCUGGCGGGCAUGCCUGUUCGAGCGUCAUUUCAACCAUCAAGCUCUGCUUGCGUUGGGGAUCCGCGGCUGCCCGCGGUCCCUCAAAACCAGUGGCGGGCUCGCUAGUCACACCGAGCGUAGUAACUUUACAUCGCUAUGGUCGUGCGGCGGGUGCUUGCCGUAAAACCCCCCAAUUUUUAAGGUUGACCUCGGAUCAGGUAGGAAUACCCGCUGAACUUAAGCAUAUCAAUAAGCGGAGGA
This 333-nucleotide unclassified non-coding RNA is filed under the name soil metagenome. RNAcentral describes it as "partial contains 5.8S ribosomal RNA, internal transcribed spacer 2, and large subunit ribosomal RNA". The stretch from base 1 to 120 matches the Rfam family "5.8S ribosomal RNA", at positions 35 to 154 of the family's 154-position model. The record is from RNAcentral.